AUUGAACGCUGGCGGCAGGCCUAACACAUGCAAGUCGAGCGGCAGCGGGACCUUCGGGUUGCCGGCGAGCGGCGGACGGGUGAGUAAUGCCUAGGAAUCUGCCUGUUAGUGGGGGAUAACGCGGGGAAACUCGCGCUAAUACCGCAUACGUCCUACGGGAGAAAGCGGGGGCUCUUCGGACCUCGCGCUAACAGAUGAGCCUAGGUCGGAUUAGCUAGUUGGGGGGGUAAUGGCCCACCAAGGCGACGAUCCGUAACUGGUCGGAGAGGAUGAUCAGUCACACUGGAACUGAGACACGGUCCAGACUCCUACGGGAGGCAGCAGUGGGGAAUAUUGGACAAUGGGCGAAAGCCUGAUCCAGCCAUGCCGCGUGUGUGAAGAAGGUCUUCGGAUUGUAAAGCACUUUAAGUCGGGAGGAAGGGCUGUAGGCUAAUACCUUGCAGUUUUGACGUUACCGACAGAAUAAGCACCGGCUAACUUCGUGCCAGCCGCCGCCGUAA
Molecule: ribosomal RNA, 500 nt
Filed under: uncultured bacterium
Lineage: Bacteria
Description: partial 16S ribosomal RNA
Rfam family: Bacterial small subunit ribosomal RNA
Source: RNAcentral